GAAAUGCGAUAAGUAAUGUGAAUUGCAGAAUUCAUUGAAUCAUCGAAUCUUUGAACGCACAUUGCGCCCCCUGGUAUUCCGGGGGGCAUGCCUGUUCGAGCGUCAUUUCACCACUCAAGCCUCGCUUGGUAUUGGGCAACGCGGUCCGCCGCGUGCCUCAAAUCGACCGGCUGGGUCUUCUGUCCCCUAAGCGUUGUGGAAACUAUUCGCUAAAGGGUGCUCGGGAGGCUACGCCGUAAAACAACCCCAUUUCUAAGGUUGACCUCGGAUCAGGUAGGGAUACCCGCUGAACUUAAGC
RNAcentral lists this unclassified non-coding RNA (298 nucleotides) under plant metagenome. RNAcentral describes it as "partial contains 5.8S ribosomal RNA, internal transcribed spacer 2, and large subunit ribosomal RNA". The stretch from base 1 to 105 matches the Rfam family "5.8S ribosomal RNA", at positions 50 to 154 of the family's 154-position model. The record is from RNAcentral.